This 1200-nucleotide ribosomal RNA is filed under the name Triticum aestivum (bread wheat). RNAcentral describes it as "partial small subunit ribosomal RNA". Lineage: Eukaryota; Viridiplantae; Streptophyta; Magnoliopsida; Poales; Poaceae. The record is from RNAcentral.
AUGGAGAAGAGGAAGAAGGCGGAGGAGGACGAGGAGCAGAAGCAGCCGCCGGCGGCGGAGAGCCCCUGGGGGGGCGACCUGCUCCCAGAGAUCCUCCGGGAGAUCCUGUCGCGGGUGCCGUACCGGUCGCUGUGCCGCUUCAGGUGCGUGUCCACCGCAUGGCUGGCGCUCUGCUCCGACCCGGCCGUCCGCAGGAGGUCGCCGCAGACGCUCUCCGGCUUCUUCUGCUACUCCCAGCACGACGUCGGCGGCGGCCAGCGCCGCGACGCCCUCGGCUUCCUCAACCUGUCCGGGUGGGGCCGGCCGCUGGUCGACGACCCCUCCCUCCGCUUCGUGCGCGUGCGCGGCUACUGCGACGUCACGCCCCUGCACUGCUGCGGCGGCAUCCUCCUCUGCUACUGCGAGAAGGCGGCCAUGAGCGACGACGGCAACUACGUCGUGUGCAACCCCGCCACCAAGGAGGUCUGGGCCGUGCUGCCCGUGCCCCGAAACAAGAUCAUGACGCGCCUCAACACCGCCCGCCUCUGCUUCGACCCCGCCGCCCCCAGCCGAUUCGUGGUGUUCGUGUUCGUGCAAAGCUUUCGUGGGAUUCAGACCGUGGAGGCCUAUGCCUCGGACACCGGGCGGUGGACCUCCAUGCGGAGCGAGUGGAGCCCCAAGACCCUCCUCCUCGGCGAGGAUUCAGAAUGCGUCUUCUUGAACGGCACUUUGCAUCUGGUCGACGCCGACCAUUCUGAUGCCGAUUUUGACUGGGAGGGGAACCUGAUUCGCUGGAUGGUGACUGUGGACAUGGAGGGUAAAACAUGGAGGAAGAUCCGGUUGCCGGAUUCCAUCUAUAAUGGUUUCAUCGGGCAGUCGCAAGGACGCCUAUACGCAACGCAUGUUGAAACUGAAGGUAGAUGCCGGCUAUCCGUUUGGGUUCUUGAGGAUUAUGCCAGCGGACAAUGGACCCUCAAGUGUACCGCCAGCAUUUUAGAAAUGCUAGGAAGGCCUCACCAUGAGCCCGGCGAACACUACACGCUGAUCGCGAUCCAUCCAGAGUGCAGUUUGAUCUUCCUAGUAGGCGCAGCGAGCCGUGAAAAAACACUCAUGUCGUACGAUAUGGAUACCAGUAAACUGAGUAUUAUCUGCACUCUCGGAGACCGCCAGCCACGAAGAUUUCAGCCAUACGUUCCCUGUUUUGCGGAGAAGCCUCGGUAA